GAUGAACGCUGGCGGCGUGCUUAACACAUGCAAGUCGAACGGGAAACCUUUUAAUGAAGCUUCGGCAGAUUUAGCUGGUUUCUAGUGGCGGCCGGGUGAGUAACGCGUGGGUAACCUGCCUUAUACAGGGGGAUAACAGUCAGAAAUGACUGCUAAUACCGCAUAAGCGCACAGGACCGCAUGGUCCGGUUUGAAAAACUCCUGUGGUAUAAGAUGGACCCGCGUUGGAUUAGCUUGUUGGUGGGGUAACGGCUCACCAAGGCGACGAUCCAUAGCCGGCAUGUGAGGGUGAGCGGAGACAUUGGGACUGGGCCACGGCCCAGACUCCUACGGGAGGCAGCAGUGGGGAAUAUUGCACAAUGGGGGAAACCCUGAUGCAGCGACGACGCGUGAAGGAAGAAGUAUCUCGGUAUGUAAACUGCUAUCAGCAGGGAAGAUAGUGACGGUACCUGACGAAGAAGCCCCGGCUAACUACGUG
RNAcentral lists this ribosomal RNA (478 nucleotides) under uncultured bacterium. Its description in RNAcentral is "partial 16S ribosomal RNA". It matches the Rfam family "Bacterial small subunit ribosomal RNA", at positions 28 to 507 of the family's 1533-position model. The record is from RNAcentral.